Molecule: ribosomal RNA, 410 nt
Filed under: uncultured bacterium
Lineage: Bacteria
Description: bacterial SSU rRNA
Rfam family: Bacterial small subunit ribosomal RNA
Source: RNAcentral
AAUGGGCGAAAGCCUGACGGAGCGACGCCGCGUGGACGAUGAAGGCCGAAAGGUUGUAAAGUCCUUUUCUCUGUGAAGAAUAAGUGGGGGAGGAAAUGCCCCUAUGAUGACGUUAGCAGAGGAAUAAGCCCCGGCUAAUUACGUGCCAGCAGCCGCGGUAAUACGUAAGGGGCGAGCGUUGUUCGGAAUUAUUGGGUGUAAAGGGUGCGUAGGCGGUUUGACAAGUCUGGUGUUGAAGGCAACGGCUUAACCGUUGUUUGGCGCUGGAAACUGUUAGACUUGAGUUUAGGAGGGGGAGCUGGAAUUCCAGGUGUAGGGGUGAAAUCUGUAGAUAUCUGGAAGAACACCGGUGGCGAAGGCGAGCUCCUGGCCAUAGACUGACGCUGAGGCACGAAAGCGUGGGGAGCGAA